Molecule: long non-coding RNA, 498 nt
Organism: Vicia villosa (hairy vetch)
Lineage: Eukaryota; Viridiplantae; Streptophyta; Magnoliopsida; Fabales; Fabaceae
Exons: 3
Source: RefSeq, a predicted model, not a curated record
UAUUCAAUCUAAUCUCUAACAUUCACUUUUUAUUCACGUAUAAUGAUGAUUCAAUCGGUUGCAGAGGCUUCUAUUGAAUGAUGAUGUAAUUGGAUUCCAAAGAUUAUAAUUUAUAACUUGUACAUAAUACAUUUGCAGAAGCUUGAAUCGCUGGAUGUGAUUAUAGAUGUGAAAAUAACCUUGUUAUCAAUUCAAUGACUUUGGCAUGGUUCUGCUAUGGAAAAAUUUUAGGACCAUUGAAAGAGUUGAAAAAGAGAGUGGAGGAGACUAUAAAAAUAUGUUGAAGAAACAAGCGUCAACUAGAGAUUUAAAGAUUACGAGACAUGUCAAUCCUUCGGAAUAUGUUGCCAAAGACAUUAAAGUGAUCAAAAACAUAAGAACAUACCAUUUCAUCUAAAAAUUUGGGCAUGAGGAGGGUGGAGGUAAUGCCGAGGCUAAAGAAAAAUAGGAAGAAAGUGGAGAUGAAUAGAAGGAAGAUUGCGAGAAAAUGGUGAAGAA